RNAcentral lists this non-coding RNA (192 nucleotides) under Thermotalea metallivorans. RNAcentral describes it as "Lysine sequence". It matches the Rfam family "Lysine riboswitch aptamer". From Rfam's summary of the family: Riboswitches are metabolite binding domains within certain messenger RNAs that serve as precision sensors for their corresponding targets. Allosteric rearrangement of mRNA structure is mediated by ligand binding, and this results in modulation of gene expression. The record is from Rfam by way of RNAcentral. Lineage: Bacteria; Bacillati; Bacillota; Clostridia; Peptostreptococcales; Thermotaleaceae.
UUGUGUCUUAGAGGUUGCGAUCGACAAAAAGUACUUCGAAGCUAGGCAUAGGGAGUCGUUAUGCUUCAAGGAAAGGUGUCUUCGCCGAAGCAGAUAUUCUUCCCUUGGAAUAUCCUGCUGGGACUAUGCUGAAUAAGUAUAGGACUGUCAUCGAUAAAUCACCCAGUUUAUCGAUGAAGCGCUACUACACAC